This is a non-coding RNA of Cricetulus griseus (Chinese hamster), 780 nucleotides long. NCBI's taxonomy places the organism in Eukaryota, Metazoa, Chordata, Mammalia, Rodentia, Cricetidae. The record is from RefSeq and is a predicted model, not a curated record.
UGGGUCUUUUAUUAUUUGUGCUAUACACAUAUGCAGUGCCGGGCUCUGUGGACACAGCAAGAAACUGACGUCUCCAGCCAGCAGCAGCUCCCAGGCUAGACUGGAAGUGGGCCCUUCCCAGAAGGGAACAAGAGUGAGUUCAACUGAAGAAAAAAGGCUUCUCUUGUGGAAGCAGUAUGCCCAUUCAGUCGUGUGAAGACCAGCGUGUGCGGGUGCUGAGUGCCAGUGGUGGAUGGUGCUUGCUGUAAUCCUCCACCCCACUGGUGGCCCCUGGGGAUUGGAUUAAAGAUGGAACUAUUGGAUACCAUGGGCCUGGAGAUGGACUUCACUUCAUUAACUCCUUGACAAGAGAACUGGGAAGCCUGAGGUUAAACACACCUUCUUCAAAGCACUUCCCCAAACCAGGAGGCUAAGCAAGCUUUUGAUGAGAGUGAAGGUCUGGCUUUCUAAGAAGGUGGGGUGGGUGAGCUGCAAAAGGAUAAAGAGCCAGCCUCAUGGAGUCUUUGUCUAUUGAGGUGGACAUGAAAAAUGCAUUCUGUCUGGGGUAAUGUGAGCCCUGGUGUGAAAACCAAGUCGUGCUUCCCCAGACCAGCUGAGAAAGACAUGGCUUUUCUUUCCUUUUCUUUUUUUUUUUUUGAGGACCAUGUAGACCAGGGUGGCCUGAAUCAGAGUGGCCUCCCAGGUUCUGGUAUUAAAGGUGUGCACCUCUGUGCCCAGCCUCCAGUGUGCCACCAUGCCCAACCUCUAGACUUCAUUGCUGAGUAAAAUAGUCACAAUUAA